AUUAUUUUUUUCUUCAUUGAACUCCAUAUGAAUGUUCAUUUCUUAGAUAGAAAGUAGGAAAUAUGCCAUGUUGAGCAACGAACUUGCAGAAAAAGCCCUAAAUUGAGGCAAAUGAAAGGAGAAGAUCUCCAAGGACUUGACCUCAAAGGGCUCGACAAGCUAGAGGCUGUGAUUGAAUCUGGAUUGGUUGAAGUAGUUAAAACAAAGGAAUGAUCUGAGCUACAAUUGUAUGUCCUUUAGAUGUGAUCAUGAGCAUGUUUUAGAGGUG
Long non-coding RNA from Cynara cardunculus var. scolymus (artichoke), 268 nucleotides. RefSeq lists it as uncharacterized. NCBI's taxonomy places the organism in Eukaryota, Viridiplantae, Streptophyta, Magnoliopsida, Asterales, Asteraceae. The record is from RefSeq and is a predicted model, not a curated record. The transcript has 3 exons.